GCUGAAACUCAAAGGAAUUGACGGGGACCCGCACAACGGUGGAGCAUGUGGUUUAAUUCCGAAGCAACGCGAAGAACCUUACCAGGUCUUGACAUCCCACUGACCGGUGUAGAGAUACGCCUUUCCCUUCGGGGACAGUGGUGACAGGUGGUGCAUGGUUGUCGUCAGCUCGUGUCGUGAGAUGUUGGGUUAAGUCCCGCAACGAGCGCAACCCUUGAUCUUAGUUGCCAGCAUUCAGUUGGGCACUCUAAGGUGACUGCCGGUGAUAAACCGGAGGAAGGUGGGGAUGACGUCAAAUCAUCAUGCCCCUUAUGACCUGGGCUACACACGUGCUACAAUGGAUGAUACAGAGGGUUGCCAACCCGCGAGGGGGAGCCAAUCCCAUAAAAUCAUUCCCAGUUCGGAUUGGAGGCUGCAACUCGCCUCCAUGAAGCCGGAAUCGCUAGUAAUCGUGGAUCAGCAUGCCACGGUGAAUACGUUCCCGGGUCUUGUACACACCGCCCGUCACACCACGAGAGUUUGUAACACCCGAAGUCGGUGGGGUAACCCUUACGGGAGCCAGCCGCCGAAGGUGGGACAGCACUGAUUGGGGUGAAGUCAUAACAAGGUAGCCGUAUCGGAAGGUGCGGCUGGAUCACCU
This 640-nucleotide ribosomal RNA is filed under the name uncultured bacterium. RNAcentral describes it as "bacterial SSU rRNA". It matches the Rfam family "Bacterial small subunit ribosomal RNA", at positions 893 to 1528 of the family's 1533-position model. The record is from RNAcentral.